GCCGCUUGGUUGCGAAGCACAGCCGAUCAAAGCAGAAACGCAUCCAGGCGGCUUUCCUGAUCAACAGCCGCCACGGAAAACUCAGUCACCCAAACGUUAGGAGCCCUAAAAAAGCUUGCCCCUCUGGCAAAUUGCGAUCAUUGUCGACGUUGGCUAAUCAAAACUGACAUUUGCGAUCAUCAGGAGAUCCCGAACAAAUAUUCCGAAUGUCCCGCCUGUCAAUCAGAGAAAGAGACGGCAACAGGGCGGGCCGAAAGAGACGGACAUAGAGAUUGACAGGCGGAGACAGCAUGUUAAACACCGGUAGCAACAAAUAGCAUGCCAAAAAUGCGCCGCAUUCGAAACAUUUAAACAUAAUUAAGCGGUUAGUCAGGCCCAAUGACGAUCCCAUCUUUCCUUCUCUCGAAUUGAGACAUCAAUUGAGAGUUAUGUCAACCGUAUUUGGCAACGCCAUCAUCUGUAAACAGAUAUAUAUGUUCCGAGACUGCUAUAAUUAUAGGUUUCAAUUACUGGCGAGUGACCGGCGCUUCCUCAAAAUGCGAACAAACAAACUCACAAGAAGCAGCACCAAAUUGAAACAAGAAUUCUCCGGAUUUCUACUAGACAUACAUAUAGGAAACUCACUCGACAACCAUGAAGAGAAUUCUGGAUUCUGGACCCCACAACAAGUGCCUGUAGCUUUUCCCCGCUCUUCUUUUCGGACCCCUUAUACCAUCCGUUAUGACAGUUCUUGGCUACCGAAUGCACUGCGAGAAAACAUCACCUAUAGCAACAUUUAUUUAAUUAUAUUUUAAUGAGUUCAUAAAUUAAAAAUCCUAGUGGUAUGAUCAUAUCAUA
Drosophila suzukii is the source of this 837-nucleotide long non-coding RNA. RefSeq lists it as uncharacterized. The record is from RefSeq and is a predicted model, not a curated record. NCBI's taxonomy places the organism in Eukaryota, Metazoa, Arthropoda, Insecta, Diptera, Drosophilidae.